Molecule: ribosomal RNA, 471 nt
Filed under: uncultured bacterium
Lineage: Bacteria
Description: bacterial SSU rRNA
Rfam family: Bacterial small subunit ribosomal RNA
Source: RNAcentral
UCGAGAAUCUUCCGCAAUGGGCGAAAGCCUGACGGAGCGACGCCGCGUGUAGGAUGAAGGCCCUCGGGUUGUAAACUACUGUCACGGGUUAUGAAUGUGCAUAUGUUAACAGCGUGUGUAUUGACGUAAGCCCGAAAGGAAGCACCGGCUAACUCUGUGCCAGCAGCCGCGGUAAUACAGAGGGUGCAAGCGUUGUUCGGAAUUACUGGGCGUAAAGGGCGCGUAGGCGGCCCUCUAAGUCAGACGUGAAAUCCCCCGGCUUAACCUGGGAACUGCGUCUGAUACUGGAGGGCUUGAGUAUGGGAGAGGGAUGUAGAAUUCCAGGUGUAGCGGUGAAAUGCGUAGAUAUCUGGAGGAAUACCGGUGGCGAAGGCGGCAUCCUGGACCAUUACUGACGCUGAGGCGCGAAAGCUAGGGGAGCAAACGGGAUUAGAUACCCCCGUAGUCCCUGAGCGGGCUGGCAAGGCGCAU